RNAcentral lists this transfer RNA (72 nucleotides) under Candidatus Woesearchaeota archaeon. RNAcentral's name for it is "tRNA-His". It matches the Rfam family "tRNA". From Rfam's summary of the family: Transfer RNA (tRNA) molecules are approximately 80 nucleotides in length. Their secondary structure includes four short double-helical elements and three loops (D, anti-codon, and T loops). Lineage: Archaea; Nanobdellati; Candidatus Woesearchaeota. The record is from RNAcentral.
GCGGUUGUAGUGUAACGGUUAGCAUGGGAGCCUGUGGAGCUCUCGGACCGAGUUCAACUCUCGGCAUUCGCC